This 199-nucleotide ribosomal RNA is filed under the name uncultured bacterium. RNAcentral describes it as "partial 16S ribosomal RNA". It matches the Rfam family "Bacterial small subunit ribosomal RNA", at positions 328 to 539 of the family's 1533-position model. The record is from RNAcentral.
ACGCUCGACACCUACGGGAGGCAGCAGUGGGGAAUAUUGCACAAUGGGGGAAACCCUGAUGCAGCGACGCCGCGUGAGCGAAGAAGUAUUUCGGUAUGUAAAGCUCUAUACAGCAGGGAAGAAACUGACGGUACCUGACUAAGAAGCACCGGCUAAAUACGUGCCAGAAGCCGCGGUAAUCUGAGCGGGCUGGCAAGGC